Molecule: ribosomal RNA, 500 nt
Filed under: uncultured bacterium
Lineage: Bacteria
Description: partial 16S ribosomal RNA
Rfam family: Bacterial small subunit ribosomal RNA
Source: RNAcentral
AUUGAACGCUGGCGGCAUGCUUUACACAUGCAAGUCGAACGGUAACAGGGUGCUUGCACCGCUGACGAGUGGCGAACGGGUGAGUAAUGCGUCGGAACGUGCCGAGUAGUGGGGGAUAACGCAGCGAAAGUUGUGCUAAUACCGCAUACGUACUGAGGUAGAAAGUGGGGGACCUUCGGGCCUCACGCUAUUCGAGCGGCCGACGUCUGAUUAGCUAGUAGGUGAGGUAAAGGCUCACCUAGGCGACGAUCAGUAGCGGGUCUGAGGGGAUGAUCCGCCACACUGGGACUGAGACACGGCCCAGACUCCUACGGGAGGCAGCAGUGGGGAAUUUUGGACAAUGGGCGAAAGCCUGAUCCAGCCAUGCCGCGUGUCUGAAGAAGGCCUUCGGGUUGUAAAGGACUUUUGUCAGGGAGGAAAUUCCUAGUGCUAAUAACACUGGGGGAUGACAGUACCUGAAGAAUAAGCACCGGCUAACUACGUGCCAGCAGCCGCAGUAA